AGAUGUAUCAGCUCAGGAUUUUACUAAAAUGCAGAUUCUGCUUCAGCAGAUCUGGGCUGGGGGUGUCAUUCUGCAUUUCUAACAAGCUCUAUGUGAUGCUGCU
This 103-nucleotide microRNA precursor is filed under the name Marmota monax (woodchuck). Lineage: Eukaryota; Metazoa; Chordata; Mammalia; Rodentia; Sciuridae. The record is from RNAcentral.